RNAcentral lists this ribosomal RNA (1116 nucleotides) under Escherichia coli. RNAcentral's name for it is "partial 23S ribosomal RNA". It matches the Rfam family "Bacterial large subunit ribosomal RNA", at positions 37 to 1194 of the family's 2925-position model. Lineage: Bacteria; Pseudomonadati; Pseudomonadota; Gammaproteobacteria; Enterobacterales; Enterobacteriaceae. The record is from RNAcentral.
CAGUCAGAGGCGAUGAAGGACGUGCUAAUCUGCGAUAAGCGUCGGUAAGGUGAUAUGAACCGUUAUAACCGGCGAUUUCCGAAUGGGGAAACCCAGUGUGUUUCGACACACUAUCAUUAACUGAAUCCAUAGGUUAAUGAGGCGAACCGGGGGAACUGAAACAUCUAAGUACCCCGAGGAAAAGAAAUCAACCGAGAUUCCCCCAGUAGCGGCGAGCGAACGGGGAGCAGCCCAGAGCCUGAAUCAGUAUGUGUGUUAGUGGAAGCGUCUGGAAAGGCGCGCGAUACAGGGUGACAGCCCCGUACACAAAAAUGCACAUGCUGUGAGCUCGAUGAGUAGGGCGGGACACGUGGUAUCCUGUCUGAAUAUGGGGGGACCAUCCUCCAAGGCUAAAUACUCCUGACUGACCGAUAGUGAACCAGUACCGUGAGGGAAAGGCGAAAAGAACCCCGGCGAGGGGAGUGAAAAAGAACCUGAAACCGUGUACGUACAAGCAGUGGGAGCACGCUUAGGCGUGUGACUGCGUACCUUUUGUAUAAUGGGUCAGCGACUUAUAUUCUGUAGCAAGGUUAACCGAAUAGGGGAGCCGAAGGGAAACCGAGUCUUAACUGGGCGUUAAGUUGCAGGGUAUAGACCCGAAACCCGGUGAUCUAGCCAUGGGCAGGUUGAAGGUUGGGUAACACUAACUGGAGGACCGAACCGACUAAUGUUGAAAAAUUAGCGGAUGACUUGUGGCUGGGGGUGAAAGGCCAAUCAAACCGGGAGAUAGCUGGUUCUCCCCGAAAGCUAUUUAGGUAGCGCCUCGUGAAUUCAUCUCCGGGGGUAGAGCACUGUUUCGGCAAGGGGGUCAUCCCGACUUACCAACCCGAUGCAAACUGCGAAUACCGGAGAAUGUUAUCACGGGAGACACACGGCGGGUGCUAACGUCCGUCGUGAAGAGGGAAACAACCCAGACCGCCAGCUAAGGUCCCAAAGUCAUGGUUAAGUGGGAAACGAUGUGGGAAGGCCCAGACAGCCAGGAUGUUGGCUUAGAAGCAGCCAUCAUUUAAAGAAAGCGUAAUAGCUCACUGGUCGAGUCGGCCUGCGCGGAAGAUGUAACGGGGCUAAACCAUGCAC